Molecule: long non-coding RNA, 193 nt
Filed under: Fukomys damarensis (Damara mole-rat)
Lineage: Eukaryota; Metazoa; Chordata; Mammalia; Rodentia; Bathyergidae
Description: lncRNA (ENSFDAG00000022544.1)
Source: RNAcentral
GGUUUCCUUAGUUAAUCUCUUCCCAAAGGAAACAGCUUGAUAUAGAAGACACAGACGUUGGAGUUAUACAGACUGACUUCUCAACUGAACAGUGCGUCCCUGUGAGCUGUGUAACCCUGGGAUGGAAGCAAAAGCUUUUCAUCUGGAGGAAACAAGGGUGUUUCACUGCUCCUUCCUCUGCAUUCUUCACCGC